AGCGGCGGACGGGUGAGUAAUGCCUAGGAAUCUGCCUGGUAGUGGGGGACAACGUUUCGAAAGGAACGCUAAUACCGCAUACGUCCUACGGGAGAAAGCAGGGGACCUUCGGGCCUUGCGCUAUCAGAUGAGCCUACGUCGGAUUAGCUAGUAGGUGGGGUAAUGGCUCACCUAGGCGACGAUCCGUAACUGGUCUGAGAGGAUGAUCAGUCACACUGGAACUGAGACACGGUCCAGACUCCUACGGGAGGCAGCAGUGGGGAAUAUUGGACAAUGGGCGAAAGCCUGAUCCAGCCAUGCCGCGUGUGUGAAGAAGGUCUUCGGAUUGUAAAGCACUUUAAGUUGGGAGGAAGGGCAGUAAGUUAAUACCUUGCUGUUUUGAUGUUACAACGCAAUCACCACCGUCUUGGUUGGGGGGCAGCACCCCCCGCCAAAGAAGGGUGGGUCGUUAUCCGGAUUUCCUGGGAGUAAAGCGCUCGAAGG
RNAcentral lists this ribosomal RNA (483 nucleotides) under Pseudomonas sp. TTK-002. RNAcentral describes it as "bacterial SSU rRNA". It matches the Rfam family "Bacterial small subunit ribosomal RNA", at positions 94 to 575 of the family's 1533-position model. Lineage: Bacteria; Pseudomonadati; Pseudomonadota; Gammaproteobacteria; Pseudomonadales; Pseudomonadaceae. The record is from RNAcentral.